This 685-nucleotide long non-coding RNA is filed under the name Nicotiana benthamiana. Its description in RNAcentral is "long non-coding RNA (NBEN_LNC020170)". Lineage: Eukaryota; Viridiplantae; Streptophyta; Magnoliopsida; Solanales; Solanaceae. The record is from RNAcentral.
UUAUUCUCAUAAAUUUUUCUUUUCAUAAGUUGUGUGCAUGCAUGCACGUGAAACUUUUUUAUUUCUUGUAUCUCGACUAAAUUACAAAUGCACUCACUUUAUGAAUUACUAAUUUCUUUAUAAUCAUGCAAAAGACGGAUAAAUUCAUUAACAAACUUUGGUUCACACCGAAAUUUUAUUUCCUAUCGUAUUCACGAGACUUCUUAUUCAUAUACCCUAGAGUCUAGAGUAUAUUGAUCACUUAGCCUAUAAUAUUUUUUACAAAAUAGAUUAUCGAUCGAUUUUCAAUUAGAAAUAAGGAAUUUAUUGAGGGCAACAGCUUUGCCCCUAACCCUUCUGGUAGUCAAAAGAAGAUGCCUCAGUUCAGCCCAUGUAAAAGAUUCAUAUUUUCUUGGAUUAAAAACUGGAUGAAUAAGGUGAGGAGGGCAUUCAAUAGUUGCACUGCUUGUUGGACUCAUGAAAUAUGCUAUUGAUAGCCUUAUUCACCAGUGCCCUGUGUAUAACACUCUUUAACCUCCCAUUUGUCCAAGCCUGCCAGAAAAAUAAAAGAAAGCUUUAUACAGGGAUUAACAAGUGGAUCAAUAAGCUGAGAAGGGCAUUCAAUAGUUGCAUUGCUUGUUGGACUCAUGAAAUAUGCUAUUGCUAGUCUCUGCUUCUCCUUAUUCACCACUGCCCUGUGUAUAAC